This is a long non-coding RNA of Etheostoma spectabile (orangethroat darter), 147 nucleotides long. RefSeq lists it as uncharacterized. Lineage: Eukaryota; Metazoa; Chordata; Actinopteri; Perciformes; Percidae. The transcript is spliced from 3 exons. The record is from RefSeq and is a predicted model, not a curated record.
AACCAGCAGAGUGCGUGUAGUGCAAGUGUAGGGUGUGGUGGAAAAAAAUUCUAAGGUUCGACAGAAACCGAACCCCGUCAAAAAGCCCAAUAUUCGGCUGAAUCCAAACCCGAAUCCUAGAUUCAGUGCAUACCUGCUAUAUUAUUA